CAGGCCUAACACAUGCAAGUCGAACGAUGAAGCUGGACCUGCGUAACUUGUUACAAAGGACUAGUGGAAGAGUGGCGAACGGGUGAGUAACACGUGAGCAACCUACCUAUGACAGGGGAAUAACUACGGGAAACCGGAGCUAAUACCGCAUAAUAUUGGAAUUUGGCAUCAAAUAUCAAUCAAAGAUUUAUCGGUCAUAGAUGGGCUCGCGUCCGAUUAGAUAGUUGGUGAGGUAAUGGCUCACCAAGUCCGCGAUCGGUAGCCGGACUGAGAGGUCGAUCGGCCACAUUGGGACUGAGACACGGCCCAGACUCCUACGGGAGGCAGCAGUGGGGAAUUUUGGGCAAUGGGCGAAAGCCUGACCCAGCGACGCCGCGUGAAGGACGAAGGCCUUAGGGUUGUAAACUUCUUUGACUGGGGAAGAUAAUGACUGUACUCAGAGAACAAGCCACGGCUAACUACGUGCCAGCAGCCGCGGUAAUACGUAGGUGGCAAGCGUUAUCCGGAUUUACUGGGUGUAAAGGGCGUGUAGGCGGACUUGUAAGUUGGAUGUGAAAUGCCGUAGCUUAACUACGGGUUGUCAUCCAAAACUGCAUGUCUUGAGUGUCAGAGGGGAAAGUGGAAUUCCUAGUGGAGCGGUAAAAUGCAUAGAUAUUAGGAGGAACAUCAGUGGCGAAGGCGACUUUCUGGCUGACAACUGACGCUGAGGCGCGAAUGCGUGGGGAGCAAACGGGAUUAGAUACCCCGGUAGUCCACGCCGUAAACGAUGAAUACUAGGUGUAGGAGGUAUCGACUCCUUCUGUGCCGCAGUUAACGCAUUAAGUAUUCCACCUGGGGAGUACGGCCGCAAGGUUAAAACUCAAAGGAAUUGACGGGGGCCCGCACAAGCAGUGGAGUAUGUGGUUUAAUUCGAGGCAACGCGAAGAACCUUACCAGGGCUUGACAUCCUCUGACAACCCUAGAGAUAGGGCUUCCCUUCGGGGCAGAGAGACAGGUGGUACAUGGUUGUCGUCAGCUCGUGUCGUGAGAUGUUCGGUUAAGUCCGGCAACGAGCGCAACCCUUAUUGCUAGUUACCAUCAUUAAGUUGGGGACUCUAGCGAGACUGCCGUUGACAAAACGGAGGAAGGUGGGGACGACGUCAAAUCAUCAUGCCCCUUACGUCCUGGGCUACACACGCACUACAAUGGUGAUGACAGAGGGCAGCUACCGGGUGACCGGAUGCUAAUCCCAAAACAUCAUCUCAGUUCGGAUUGUAGGCUGCAACUCGCCUACAUGAAGUCGGAAUUGCUAGUAAUGGCAGGUCAGCAUACUGCCGUGAAUACGCUCCCGGGCCUUGUACACACCGCCC
This 1349-nucleotide ribosomal RNA is filed under the name uncultured bacterium. RNAcentral's name for it is "bacterial SSU rRNA". It matches the Rfam family "Bacterial small subunit ribosomal RNA", at positions 43 to 1395 of the family's 1533-position model. The record is from RNAcentral.